RNAcentral lists this ribosomal RNA (467 nucleotides) under uncultured bacterium. Its description in RNAcentral is "partial 16S ribosomal RNA". It matches the Rfam family "Bacterial small subunit ribosomal RNA", at positions 28 to 506 of the family's 1533-position model. The record is from RNAcentral.
GACGAACGCUGGCGGCGUGCUUAACACAUGCAAGUCGAACGGAAAGGCCCUGCUUUUGUGGGGUGCUCGAGUGGCGAACGGGUGAGUAACACGUGAGUAACCUGCCCUUGACUUUGGGAUAACUUCAGGAAACUGGGGCUAAUACCGGAUAGGAGCUCCUGCUGCAUGGUGGGGGUUGGAAAGUUUCGGCGGUUGGGGAUGGACUCGCGGCUUAUCAGCUUGUUGGUGGGGUAGUGGCUUACCAAGGCUUUGACGGGCAGCCGGCCUGAGAGGGUGACCGGCCACAUUGGGACUGAGAUACGGCCCAGACUCCUACGGGAGGCAGCAGUGGGGAAUAUUGCACAAGGGGCGGAAGCCUGAUGCAGCAACGCCGCGUGCGGGAUGACGGCCUUCGGGUGGUAAACCGCUUUCGCCUGUGACGAAGCGUGAGGGACGGUAAUGGGUAAAGAAACACCGGCUAACUACGU